UGAGAUGGUGUCGGGCGGUGGCGUUGUUGGUGGUUCUUUACCACAUCUAUGGUGGUGGUGGCGGUAUACGGUGGUGGUGAUAGUCGUGUUAGCCGAUUUGCGAACUUGUUAAGCUUUGGUUAUUUGUGUCGAGCAGUGUUCGAACUGCUUAUUACUGUGGUCAUAGUAUCGUUCGGUUGUGUUGGUGAAACUUCGUCAGAUAAAGUUGCUAUUUUAUAUUUGAGUGAUAUUUGGAGUCGUUUUAUAUCUGCUGCCUGUAGCAUAUUUGAUAAUGGUUUUUGUGUUGCAAAGUGGAUUUUUUUUCUGUCACUAACUACUCCGUAGUGAUAUACCAUUGUAUCACUGCUUUCGUGAUCUAAACGCUCUUAUAGUACUUUACAGAGGGAGUGCUGAUGCUGAAACUUGGCUGUGCUGAAAAUUUAUUAUCAAACUCAGACAGAUAGUUGCAGCAGCUGCUUUAUUUUUCAAGGUUGCAUCUGAGAAAAUCUGCACUCCAAUCCCUGUCUGGCCAUAGCACGUCGAUGGUAUACAAUACUGACCUUUCAUACUUUAUUCAAGAGUACUCACUCUGUUCCUAAAUUUAAGCCUCUUUAUAGAUUUCAUUCACUACGGACUACACAUGGAGCAAAAUGAGUGAAUCUUACACUCUAAAGUAUGUCCGUAUAUACAUCUAUAUGUAGUCCGCAUCGAAAUCUAAGAAAUACUUAUAUUUAGGAACGUUGGCUUCAUCAAAAGAUUAGUGACAAGAAGAUGAGGAGAUUUUUUCUUAGUUAUACGUAUAUCUGUAGUCCCCAUAACAAAUUAUGAGUCAACAUUUUAAAAAUUAUGUUACUGGUAGUGUGUGUCUAAAAGGCACACCAAAUUAAGGGGGGAAAAGCAGAGAAGACACGUGAUUCAGAUAAUUACGGUAGAUGCAUGGUGAGAAAUUGACGAGAAUAAGACCAGAGGAAGAUGAAGCAAUCCAUGAAUAUGAGGGGGUUGUUGAGGCCAUCCACCGGGUCGGGAUGAAAACGGCCUCUUCUUCCUGCCGUAUGCCCCUGCCCCUGCUUCUGCAGCGGCGCUGGGUUUCGCUGCUGCCGCUGCCGUCGUCGAAGCUUUACGGUGGCCGUUGCCAUUGCCUGGCUUGUUCUUCGUUGGAGAGCUGACCACGGACAGAGCCGGCGGAGGCAUUCUUGGCAACAAUGAAUGACGUGGAGCGGCAGAGGCCGGCCCUGGGACUGGGAGAGCUUUUCUUUUGCUGCUGUUGCUAUUGGGGUCGAGCACGAAGUCCAUGUCCGCGGACCAAGACAGUGGUAGAUCUUGAUCUCAACACUAGGAUGCCACUGUUCAAAAAUUACAUUAUAUACUACUAUAAUUUGACCAAAACAUCACCAAUAAUAUCAACUAAUAGUCCCAAAAUAACAUCAACUUAUUAAUAAUUAGUGUUAAAUACAUAGUAAAAACUAGAUUCUGAAAGUAACAUAAGACUUUUUAGAUCAGUAAAGUAGCAGUGAUCUAAGAAGUACUUUACAGAGGGAGUAUUUUGCAUUAUUGUAGUCGGCCAUGAACGGUGUACUAGUUGCCUCCAUUGGUCUUGAUCCUACACGCAGUUUGGUAGUUGGACAACCUGAUGUCUGGCUGCGUCUCGCCCGUGUACUUGAUGUAGGUGACUCGAAAUCCUGGUGGAAAGACAACGUUGCGGAUGUGGGAGUCAAAUGCUUUUGGGCGCAUGCACACCAUUUUCGGGGGAGUCGUACGGUGGAAAUGGUUGAUGAUGCGUUAGUCGUCGUCAUCAUCGUCACGGUGAUCUUCGCAAAGGUUACUGUGGCCAACGUCACAAUCAUCUCUUCCCGUGCCACGACGACGAGCACAAUGCCUUGCCUCGAUGGUGUUCUACGUGUCGUGGUCCGGACUGAAGCUCUGUGUUGUCACACCGUAUUGCCUGGAGGGUGUUCCAUGCAUUACGGUUCGACCCAAGUCGACCAUGUAUUGGCAUGAGGGGCACGAGGCUCUGAGUCGGUGUAGUUACACUCUUUGGCGUGUUGGUUCCCAGAUGGGGAAGAAUGCCGGCCCCUGGUGCUCGUAGUGGAAGAUGCGCAGCCAUUGCUGAUUGCAACUUGCUUUUCUUAAGACAACACAAUGGCAUAUGCUCACAUACACGUACAUACACUUUCUAUGAACGCACUUUGAUUGAAACUUGCCGGCGAGUUUCUUUUGCAUCAUUUAUACCGUCUUACAUUUUCCUUUACAUCAGUUAGUUAUUUUUAGCAUAUAUUAUGCAUUUCUUUUAACAAGGUUUCCACAACAAUGCAAGGGGUAUUAUCUAGUUUCAAUAAUACUCGGAUAUGCCAUGAUACUCUAACAAAGAAUGCCGAAGAAGACACAAACAAAAUGAACACAGCUAUUGUUGUAUUGCCAUGGUCUAAUUUACACGAGUGUGUUGUGGUACUAUCACAUAAAACUACAAAAGUUCCUCUGCUUUCAGCCAUAGGUAAAAGAUGGCUUGAAGUACAUGCACAUCGGUGGGUCAAUCCUCAUGAUGGACAAUAUUGCAGACGGAACACUCCAGAUACCAUCACCGCAAAUCAAACCAGAAGCAACCGCACCCGCAAACUCCUCUGACUCCUUACGGUUCACCAUCUCCCAUACAAACAAGAUGACAGUCCCGAUAAAUAUGUCAAUCGCGAAGUAUGCCCCAAUGUAAAAUGAAACGGCCAUGGCCAUCAGGAGCGGGAUGAAUUUGGAUAGACCAUUUGGGGUGACAUCCCGGAUGAGCUUGAUUGCUAUGGCUCCAAAGAAGAAGAAAGAGCAUAUUGCAAGGCAAUGUCGCGGCAACACUGAGAAUCCUUCGACACCCAUGAUUGACAUCUCACGGAAGAUGAUGGCAUAUGGAGCUUUGAACAUACCAUCAGGAUUGCCAAUAUCGAAGGAUGUCCAGUAAAGCCAAAAGGUUAGAGGAGCAAUGACACAACCAAGGGCAGUGCCAAUCAACUGUGACACAAACAUGGACCUUGGUGAUGAGAGGGUCAGGUACCCAGUCUUGAAGUCAUGCAUGAGAUCACCAGCUGUGGAUACGAUGGACAUCAUAACACCACAAGCUGCUAAGCCGGCGAUCACACCACCAUGUUGGCCAACCCAUGAGGCAAAAAUGAAAAGGCCAAUCUUUCCAUAUGUGGAUGCAAGGUUCCAAUCUGUUAGUCCAGUUCCGUAUGAGUUGCAGAAGGCAAGUAGAGGAGCAACAACAUAGGCAAAGAGGACAAGGUACCACUUGAGUUGUGGGAAUAUCAUUGGCACUAUUGCAGUUGAAAUUGCUGCAAGGCCCACAUAACCAGAUCCUGCCAACCAGGGAGGGAUACUGUCUUUUAGAAACACCUCAUUUAGAAGCUUUUCCUUGACUGAUAAUUUGGAAUUUUUAUCAUCUGCAAUUAUAAAAGGGAAACAAGAUGAGAGCCAUGAUGUAUGAUAUGAUGGCAGGUCAACUAGGUACAAUAAGAAAAUGGCAUUACCAUCAUGAACCCGAACAAGGGGAAGUCUUCCUUGCUUUGAGCGUGCAUUCAUUAUUUCCUUGAUAGUAGCAUAAAUUAUUUUGAUGAGGUUAAAAGUACCAUCACCAAGUAUCAAGGAUACCGAUAUGAAAACCUGGAAGGGUGCAUUGACAACUUAGUUUUUGCUAAAUAUAAUGUUGGCGAAGACUGAGCAUUAAGUGAAUAAAGAAUACUUUAGAAAUUUAAUGAUAUAGAUGAGCCAUUUAUUUAUUCUUGAACUCAAUUUCAUGUUUCUCAUGAAUUACGACCACUAUGCCCACUAAAAUAAAUGCAUAAAAGAGAGUUAUCAGUAUUAUUCGCAUAUUUACAAGAACUACUUGCAAAUUUACUGGGUUCAUUCAAUAUGGAGGGAAACAAGAGAUUUUGGUCAAGCCUUGUAAAUAUUGAUUCAUAAUCUAGUUCUUUUUAUUAGAUCGGUUCACAACAUGGUAAAAGCUAUGUUGGUCAACAACCAUCACAAUUGAAUUGGCAAAAGGCAUAAUCAAGAGACAACAUGGUAUUGACUAAUAAUUCAUUAUGAGAUGGACAAUUAGAAUCCUUCACCACCAUACCUUGUACCCAUAGAGUCCUUUGAAGUCAUUGCUUCCAAGGUUAGCUGGGUACCACUCCCCCGCUUUUGUCGAUAUAUAUGGCCAAAGAAAACCCCAAGAUAUGAUGGCUCCAAGAAGUGCAGAGCAAUUAACUAUAUGUGGACAUAUAAGGCCACAUCCAAUAUAGGUUGGAUUGAAGUCAAAAUAAAACCUAUAAAAAGUAGAAACUGUUCAUAUAUAAUGCAUAUGAUAUUCCAGCUUAAAGGAUAUUAAUUUCAUAUAAUAAUCCAUGCAUGUCCAAAUUAUCCCUAAUAAAUUAUAAGGAAGGCAAAUUUUGUUUCGAUUUGAAAAAUAAAAUGAUUUGUUUUUUAAUUGCAAAAUGCAUGCUUUGAAAUUUUAGCACGCUCAUAAUAGCAGUUAGCUUACAUGUUCUUAAAUGCUGCAAGGCCCAGAGAAGGGAAGUUGUCGAAGCCACAAGAAUCCCCGGCACCGCUGAAGAACCAUUUAAAGCAGUUCCAAAGGAAACUUAUGCUUAAAUACUUUCCGAGACAACUAACUUGUUUUCUGCAGGCAUGAGAAUAAAGUUAGUACCACCAAAACUCAAGAAAUGCAGUAACCCAAGAAUAUGUAGUCAACAAUCAAAUCGAUACAGAGACAUCAAAGUUCAUCCCAAGUAAACAAAUAGAUAAUCCAUGAUUUUAAGUAAGAACUGAUAAACUAGCUAUUUUAUAUCUAUCAUAAGAUUCNNNNNNNNNNNNNNNNNNNNNNNNNNNNNNNNNNNNNNNNNNNNNNNNNNNNNNNNNNNNNNNNNNNNNNNNNNNNNNNNNNNNNNNNNNNNNNNNNNNNNNNNNNNNNNNNNNNNNNNNNNNNNNNNNNNNNNNNNNNNNNNNNNNNNNNNNNNNNNNNNNNNNNNNNNNNNNNNNNNNNNNNNNNNNNNNNNNNNNNNNNNNNNNNNNNNNNNNNNNNNNNNNNNNNNNNNNNNNNNNNNNNNNNNNNNNNNNNNNNNNNNNNNNNNNNNNNNNNNNNNNNNNNNNNNNNNNNNNNNNNNNNNNNNNNNNNNNNNUAGAGAGAUAAGAUUGUAGAAUUCGUAGCCUCCAUUCAUUACAAACUAAUUGCGAGCUGAAUAGAUCAGUAAAGCUUUAUUAUUGUUGAAUUACCUAAAAUAUAUUUGUUCUCUCAUGUACAUGCUACUUAAUUGACCAAUAAACAAUCUAUAACGAGAAUUGGUCGAUAAAUGGGUAGAAGGCUAAUGUGCAACUUCAUUGGACUAUUAAGGGAUUUUGGCAACCAUCAGUGUUUAACACUUGGAAAAAGGUCAAAUGGAAGACAAUAAGCUUUAAAUAACUUAAUAGUCACUAACAGUUAGGAGACAGUAUUUAAAAUGCUUAAGUCAUGGGGACCCAUAGUAAACUUUGAUAACCUGAUAUAAGCCGUAAAAGUACCAUAGGUCGAUACAAACCACUCUUUCGAUUACUUAUUUAUAAAUUACUAAUUGUGCAAUUGCGCAGCACUUUAUCAUACAAAAUAUAUAUUCAUCCAAUCAUCGGACAAGAAGCAUCAGAGAGUCAAUAAUAACUGUCCCUCCAAAGUACAGAUAACUUAUCAGUAUGCACAAAAUUAAGGAUCAAUGAUGAUCUGUUUCUUACUCUACUAACUCAUCUCCGGUAGAAGUGUGGACGCUGUUUAUGAACAUAGCUGUGGCAGUUCCUCUGGGAUAGGUUAGCUUAUAGUUUAUCACCAUCGCCUAGCAAACACCAAACUGAACUUAGUUUACCGAAUUUGCAAAAUGUUGUCCUAGUUGCUGCACUUGAUUACAAAAAUGUAAAUGCGAUUAGAUAAAGAUGAAAGAUGCACACACAUCUAAGAUGUGGAUGAUUACCUUGCGCAGGGCAACGAGACAAAAAAUACCAAUGAAGCUAACUACAAACAUAAACCCAAUCAUCCAACUUAGCGAGGGAUUCUUCACAUCCACUGCCCUGUUACCAGGAUAAUCAGUCCCAAGAAGCUCGUAAGUUUUUUGAUCCAUUGCAAGCAUAUAUGAUCCGAGGGAAAGUAUCACAUGAUACCAGCCUUUACAUGAUACCAUGAUACUAACUUGCAAAACUCAAAUUUAAACAUGUCAAAAAAUUCUGAAAAAAAUCAUGAAUUCUCACAACACAUAUGUUGACAACCCCUAAAAAAUUCAGAUCGAAAAUCGAAAUACACAAGGAGAAACAAAAAAGACAAAUCCAUCAUAAAUAGUGUCAAAAGAAGACAAAAGCAAAAAUCACACUAUUCACAUUUGGAUUUGUCUUUUUUGUUUCUCCUUAUAUAUUUCGAAUUUUGAUCUAUCUUUUUAGGAGUUGUAGACAUAUGUGUUAUGAACAUCCAUGAUUUUUAUCAGAAUUUUUUGACAUGUUUAAAUUUGAAUUUUUUAACUUGGUAUCAUGGUAUCAUGUAAAGGCUGGUAUCAUGUGAUACUUUCCCUAUGAUCCGAAUCCUCCUGCACAAAUGGAAACAUUGAUUGAUAAUGUGAACUAUGUGAAAAGGGGGAAGCCCAUCGUCAUCAAUUUUUCUGCCACUCCCAAAAAACACCAAAAUCAGAUACGUACGCUGCAAAGUUAAACAUUUGUUCUAAGAAAUGCAAUUGUAAAAACCAACUGCUAGUGUAAAAAACGCUCUUAUAUUAUGGGACGGAGGGAGUAAUAACUUCCUUUAAUACAAAAAAAACAGUAAAACCAAACCUAAUCUUUCUCCAAUACCUAGCAAUGUUCCACCCAAAUCAAACACCGUUUAGGUCCCCACCCAAAAAUAAUAUACACACAAGCAACGGCCACACGUACUUAAUUAGCAGAAAUCAGCUUCAGAAGUCCACAUGAAGGCUGUUUUGAGUCAAGGAUCAUAUCAAAGCAAAAUGCAAACAUACCGCUGGUGGCGAGGCCGUAGCAGGCGACGACGCAGGUCUGGAUGACGGUGUUCUCCUGCUUCGUGAAGGGCUUGGAGACAACGCCGAACAUGUCCAGCGCCGCAGUCCAGGUCCGCACGAGGAAGUAGGCGAGCAGGCCCGCGGCGACGUUGAGCGAAGGAAUGAUCCCCACCGUGAGGUUGAGCUUGUGUGUGAUGAGGCAGAAGAGCACCCCCAGGAUGGCGCUCACCACCACACCCCGGACCGUCAGCUGCUCCCGCCACGGCGGCACCGCCUCCACCGCCGACGGCACGCCGGCAAGGAGGGGCCCGGUCAUCUCCGCCGCAUCCGCCUCCGAUCCCAUCUCUUGCGAACGCUAGUAUCAAAGCCAAUGCCUCCCUUCGCCUCAGACUUUGGGUGCUGGUAGACGAGGUCAAGGUGAGGAUGAAUGAAUUGGCGUGGAGGACUAGGUAUUUAAAGGGCGUAAACUGAAGCUUAAUUAGUACUCCCUCCCUUUCGAAAAACAUGUCGCGAGGGCAAUUUUUCAAAAAAACCCUCCAAUUUCUCCCGACCAAACCCGCACUCCUCGUCAUCCUCCUCCGACAGAAUCCCCAGCUGCGCUGCUCCCCGCCGCCGUCGCUUCCCCGCUCCCCCGCCGCAGCAGCCCUGCUCCCCGCCGCGGCGGCCCUCGCCGCAGCUGCCCUGCUCCCCCGCUCCCUCGCCGCAGCUGCCUCCUGCUCCGCCGCCGCAGCUGCCGCUCGCUGCCUCCCCAAGCUCCCCCCUUCCUCAUAAAAAUCUUCGAUUUCCGCCGCGCUGAUGGGCCCGACGACGAGGCGUCGCGGCUGGCGUUGUAGGCGUCGGGCGCGGCGGACCCAGGCGCUGCGGCGGGGCGGCUUCGGCCUGGAGUGCGGGCGCUACUGCAACGGCGAACCGGAGGAGAGGCUCCGGCAGUGGAGCCAGGCAUGGCUUGACGUCGCCAAGAAAAUCUCACCGCCUUCCCUUUCUUAUUUCACACGCGCCAUAACACUGGCGACGGAGCUUUGACCUCGCCUCGUCGGAGGAUAGUCCCCUCACCGUCCUUCCUCUCCUAAAAGCGCCCUAAUCCCGGGCGGAGAGUACCUCAGCCGGUGCCCGGCGCGCCUCUCCAUUUCCUUCUCUUGUUCGCUCCGUGCCGGCUGCGGGCGAGACCUCACAGCGAUGUCGUCGGCGGCGGGGACACCAUCGGACGGCGGAGGGGAUAGGCCGUGGCAGUCAUACCACACCGCCUACACCAACGCCAAAGCUGGUAAAACUGCAUUCCCCUCUUUCCUGGCUUAAGAUUGCGCCGGUAUGGUUUGAGCACUGGUAUUUAUUCUCUUAUCACGUUGCAUUAGGAAUGGAGGGAGUUGACAAAGAGAAGGUGCAGAAGGUGAUCUAUGAAAUGAGCAAGGGUUUCGAAAAUGAGCAGAAGGAGGCGAUUACCAAACUUAAAAUCGAGCAUCUGCACACACAGUGUGCAAAGUUAACUGAUAAUGACAUAUCACAUUUUCAGAAGGUUCGAGGCAGCAAUUUUCUGAACAAUUGAUCAUAAACAUCUGUACUGCCCUGUUAUUAUGCCCCAACAUCUGUGUAUUUAUGCUUGUUCCCCCCAACCUAGUUGAUGAACAAUUCAUCAUAAACCUCAACUAAAAUACAGCAUGCUGUUUGUUUCUCCAGCAUCUCCAAGUCCUACAGCCUGGGUCAUCUCUGUCACCAACACAUACAACCUGGGUAUGAACCACUUACUGAAUUUACUGAAUCUUCUCUACUUCAUCUUUACUGAAUUUACUGAAUGUGCGUAUUCUCUGAACCACUUAUUCUCUAUCUACUGAAUUUUGGAGUAUACUCUUUGCAGUUGUUUCUGAGGAUAACUGUUUAUUGCCUGAAAGAUAACACAUAACUGAUCAAACAUCUUGUAGGAGUAAUUAACUAGCUAUGUUACUCAAGGAAACCUUCCUCAGAUUAACUUGUUUAUUUGCAGUACUUCUCUCUGUCUCUAGAACAAUUAUUUAAACUGGAAAAGAGGAGGCAAGAGGGACCAUGUCUAGCUGAUGUCUGAGAGCCUAAAACUUGCUUAUGCAGUAAAUUGCCCAAGUUAGCUGUAAUACAUUCAUCUUACUGCAAACAAGAGUAUGAAUGUCUGAAAUGGUACCUUAUGGUGCUCCCUUCGUUCAGAAAAAUGGACGUCCGAAGAUGCAUGCACUCACCUUUUUGAAACUUUGAUCAUAUGGAAAACGAUAUGCUGAAUGAAAAUAUCAACAGUGGUUUUACCAGCCAUAAUUAUUCCUAGUUAUAUUUUGAAUUUGGCUUCUGUAGCAUGCUGUGAUUGAAAACUGUAGUUUAAAAUUUCAAAUUGUAGACCAUGAAAAGGAGGAACUAGGUAGCACUUGAUCCAAAGGUCCUGACGUAGGUGUUGUGUGCUGAAACAUGUUUCGAACUAGAGCAUUUUCAGUGAACUAGUCUCAGCUUGAAAUUUGGUUCAGUUAACUCCAUACAAGGGUCUCUUUUUGGUUUAGUAGUGAUUAGAAGAUCAUGUACUGAUGAUAUGAGAUUAGCAAAGGCCUUGCUUGUCACUAACCUUCAAAGUAUACUGAUUGUGACAUUAGCAUGCCUCAUUGAAAUAAAUCAAAAUAUUUUAAAUUAAUUCAAAUAACUAAAAUUAAUCCAAAUCAAUUCAAAUAAUUCAAAUAAAUCCAAAUAACCCAAACUAAUUCAAGUAAUCCAAAUUAAUCCAGUUAAUUCAAAUAACCCAGAUAAUUCAAUUAAUCCAAAUAACCCAGAUAAUUCCAAUAAAUUCCAACAAGGAGUUGAUAUACAAGGAUUAGACAAGGCGUACACAAGGGCAUGACAUAAGGGCAUCUUUGUCCCCUCUUGACACAAGAUUACACAAGACAUACACAAGGAGCACCUGACUACAUGACAUAAGGGCCUCUUUGCCCCCUCUUGACUACAUUCUUUCUCUGGCCACUUCUUCCCUUUCCUUUCCUUUACUUUUCUUUCUUUUCCCUUCUUUAGCCAAUUCUUUCCUUUCAUUUUCUUUUCCUAUUGCAAUUUCCAUUUCUUCUAUAAUGGCCCUAGUAUCAACAACUACCCGACUGUCGCAAUAUACACUGAUGAUUUCCCUGCCAGCAUUCUGAAUGCGAUCCUUGUGCAAGUGGGGCAACUUAUAUUGAUUUCCUCCUUUGUCUUUCAUAACUUCAAACAUAACUGCUUCUAAUGUGAUAAAGCUUCUGUGCAACUUGUCGGGAUCGUAGUUCUCGAAUUCCUCUUCCACACCCUGUACCAGUUCCUGGAUGUUUGUAGGUGACCUGCAGUCGGUUAGAGACUGGAGAGAGGUAAGGAAGCAGAGGUCCAAACAAUUUAACUCAGGGCUAUUUGGGGGCUGUUGUAGCAAUCGGAUGUCAAGAUCAGUUUGUUCCACAGCUUCUCGAAAAGCUACAUCAUUGGGAAGGACAUGGGGCUUUGCAUUAUCCUGUUGGAUGAAUAUUGUUGCUCCCUCGUCAUCGUCAGGCCACUUAUCCUGAAUUGUCGGGAUAACCUUAUUGAUUAGAUAAUCUCUGCACACAGGCCUAGUUACUUUCACUGAUGUCAACACUUUUGUUCCCUUUGUUCUGUUAUGACUUGUCCGCUUCGCCUCAGUCUCUUCAACGAAUGCCCAAAUGCCAAUCUUCCCGUCGAAUGUUAGCUCCCCCUCAUUGUUAUAUCGAGGCCUGGCAACAGCUGUUAGGAACAUCACCUUCCCAAUGCUGUGAGUGUUUGACACGGUGCGCUUCGGCUCAGGUUCUCCUGGAAGUACAUAGUAACUAUUCUUCACUCUCGUCAUGUCAAACCACUUCUCAUCGAUGUGAACCAUAUUCGUCAUUGGUUUAAACAUAGCCCGAGAAGUUGAGAUUGAAUUGUCAUCGACCAUGGACAUACAAAAUUUCAAUCUCGCAAGCUUGUUCUCUAGCUUGAGGUGAGGCUUCACGGUGCUUGUGAUGCGGUUGAGCUCAUUCAACUGGAACCUCUUAUGUAGGGUCGAUCGGGCCACACCUAGAGACCGUGCCAGAGAUCGAAUUGUCCUUCUUUUAUUUAGUGGGAUUGUUGAGGUCCUCUCUAGAUCCAUCUCCUUUCUCUUUCGGCCAGAUCUUCCUGGCUUCUUGCUUGAGACAUCUACUUCUUUGCCAUCGGCAAUUUGCUUUUUGGCUUCUUCCCAGAUUCUUUCAACAGAUCGUACACUUAUGUCCAACAGGUUUGAGACUAGCAGCUUGUCGCUGGUUGAACAGACCCAUCUCUGAGCUCGAUUACCAGCAAAGCGAAGUAAACACCAUGCCUCUCCUUAUCUGACAAUUCUCUUCUCUUCUCUUGAAGUAUCCAAUUCAUAACUUCAUCCUCUUCCUCUUGAGCUUCGUCCUCUUUCCCUUCAUCUUCUGGAGGCAUCCAAUUCAUAGCUUCAUCGUCUUCCUAUUGAGGCAUCAAGUUCAAAUCCAUAGUUCCAUUCUCUGCCACUUGAGGUUCCUCCUAUUCAGGGAUCCAAUUCAAAUUAAUACCUUCAUCGUCUUCCUCUUGAGGCAUCAAGUUCAAAUCAAUAGUUUCAUGUUCUUCCUUUUGAGGCAUCAAGUUCAAAUCCAUAGUAUGUUUCCUGCCAUCAAUGACAAAAGAUGAGUACACCAUGGUACCAUAACAAGAAUAUACACACACAAAAUGAGUAUGCAAGUCAAACAAGAAAUAGGUGCCAUGGCACCAUUUCUAGUUUGGUUGCCACGGUAGCCAAACAAGAAAUGCUGCCAUGGCAGCCAAACACUUUGCUCUAACCAUAAGCCAUUUUCUCUAGUUAGAGUAGUUAACAGAAUUUUACUCUAGUUAGAGUAGUUUUGCUGAAUUUUACUUGCUCAUAGUACCAUGCCUAUGGUAGAAAAGUGUCAAGAAAAAUAUACUCCUGUCAAUAGAAUCAAAACUGAUUUAUUACCUUUGCAUAUAAACUACUCCUAGUGAAUUAGCAUCAAUAAUUGUAGUUUAACUGAAUUUUACAAAAUCUGACCAAAUGUGUAGUUAGUCAGUGAGCUACAGAUCAUUUGCACUUGACAAUGUUUGUGACCAUUUGCUUUUACAAAAUCUGAACCAAUGUGGCUCUACAAAUCAUAGCAGGAAGUACUUUGGCUCUAUUGAAAAUUGUUUGAAACAGGAAAAUGGAUCAUAAUUGUUUUGAAUUUUGUUGGACUCUUGUUGACCAGAUUUACCAAGUGUUAAUGUUCAGUUUUCAAUUUACUGGAAACUUUAGACUUGCUGUUAGUGGAUCAGAACAUGCUGUUAGCAACUCUAAAUUUACUCAAGGCCUUGGUAUUAAUGCAUGUUUAACUGAAUUUACUCAAGUCCUUUGUUUAACUGAAUUUCCCUUUUGUUUACACACAGUUACAAUAGUUUAACUGAAAUUUAACCCUGCAUCAGCACAUUAAGCAAGCAACAUCAGCAGAUUAAGCAAGCGAGCAACAUCAACAGAUCAGCAAAUUAAGCAAGCAAGCAACAUCAGCAUAUCAGCAAAUUAAGCAAGCAACACAAGUACUCCAUGAUCAGCAGUAGUUUCUUUAAUAAUUUUCAGUUAACAACCAUCAUGAUUCUGUUCACAAUGAUCAGCAGCAUUUUCUGUAUAAUGAAUGUACUCCAUGAAUUUUAAGUUAACAACUGAAUUUACUCCAUGAUUGGCAUUGUCAUGAUUCAGUUAACAGUAAACCAUUUCACUAACUUUCAGGUAGCAGUAUUCUGAUGGACUACCUUCUUCAGAGUGCAGACGAGCACAACACGGCUUCACUUGGGUCAGCAACAGCAGCAUAGGCAGAGGAAGAUCAGGUUCGACGCAGAGGAACCCACGAGCAGAAGAUCAGGUGCGAUGCACAGGUUCAAUUCAACCCAGCUGUGCGCUUGGGUUCAGGUUCAGGUUCUCCCACAGUGCAGAAGAUCAGCAGCAGCACCACGACAGAGGAGCAAUAGCAGCAGCACGCAUAGCUCCACCUGUGACAGGGGAGAAGCAGCUGCGCGGGCGCGCGGGCGCGCGGGCAAGCGAGAAGGAGCAGCACGGCGACACGCGGGAGCUCGAGGAGGACUCACGGGAGAUAGAGGAGGACGAGCGUGAGCUCCUGGUCCAUCGAAUCGUGGAGGCUGGUUCCAACGACGGUCGUAGGGGAUCGUAGCUGGAAGGAUCGCGGCGGCGCACGCGUGGGAGCUCAAGAAGGAGACGCGGGAGCUCGAGGAGGAUGCACGGGAUCUCGAGGAGGACGAGCAGGAGCUCCUGGUCCACCGGAUGGUGCUGGGAAGUUCUGGCGACGCCGCAGGUAAUCGCAGCGGGAGGAGAUCGCGGCGGCACAGGAUUGGGCGACGACGGCGGUACUUGGCGACGGCGGCGGCAGCAGAUCACUUCCUGGUGGGCGACGAAUCGCGCAGCUGGGCGGCCCCGGCCCUUGGCGACACGCGCACGACGGCGGAGGAAGAAGACGAUGGCGGAGGGACUUGUUUGAGAUGGUUUUGAAACUGUGAGGUCUUUUUUGCAAAAGUACCAGUGAACUAGGCGUGCGACAUGUUUUUCGGGACGGAGGGAGUACACAAGUACGUAUGGUGGCUUUAGUAUGUUCAUCAGUUCAUGCAUGCACACUAUGACACGCGUACUCCUAUCAUGCAGACACGUAGCAGGCCAGCACGGUCAUUAUCUUGGCAGAGGACCGGGACAGGAGGAGCAGCGUGAAUCAUGCUUGUGCUAGUAACACGCGGGUAGUGCUAUCCGGCCACUCGAUCGCUAUCUAGGUAACGGUGGCCACACAUUUCUACUGCUUACGUGCUAAUUUGAUUGCCAUCCUUAAGCAAGCGUUAACUAUAUCUGAUGGGGCCGUAUCUAAUGAUGGCCACGAAGUACAGUCUCUGGAACCAUCCCUACGGCAGGAUUAUGUACGGUGGGACUGGAUGUAAUGGUAACCACAAAUCAUGCCAUGCAUUAGGAAUUAAGUAUUUUUUUUCUCUUAGGAAGGAAGGAACGUGCAUGUUGUAGUAUUUGAUUUGGCCAUGCCAUCGAUGCGAGCAAGGUAGGAGGGCUAGCUGUGCAUACGCACAGUUUGAACGUUCAGGCUGAUGCUGAUGUCACAUGUCAUCGUUUGAUGUCGAAAUAAACUAUAGAAAGUUGUGCAUCUCAUGGCAAUUCAGAAAUUUUAAUGGUUUAACUAAACAAAGAUAAAUUGGCAUGUCCAUGGAAAAUGGAGUGCCCUUUUGUUCAUUUAUAUUUAUACGUUAUGUGCACUAGAAGCUUAGGGCACGCUUCGUGGCGCCGUGAAGGCUUUUAGGGCCUCGCAACUCGCUUUUCGCUGUUUAUUUUUGUCAUUGUGGUUAUCUCGCUGGAAUAUGUUCUCAUGAUGGCCUACUAACAAUUAUAAUUAAGUUUGUUGGUGUUGGCGCAGUAUGCCAAAGUCAAUAAAUGUAUAUUUUUGCGAGGUUAAUGUGAUUAUAACAGUGAAAUUUAAUGUAAUUUAUGUUUCACAUAUGAAGGUUUCUCGUGUAUUUGAUAUUCUAUACAAUCAUUUUUAGGAAUCACCAUAGUGGUGGCUUGUUUGGCGGAGAGUCCAUGGAUUUGAAAUUUUAGACAAGUUGCAUAGAGAAAGUCUGUUGACGGAGGGAUAGAGAAGGUGAGUGAUUUGUUGGGAAGAAUUAAUACUAUCUUGAACACACGAAUAACUAGCAUUAUCGAAAGAUAUUUGUGCCCUCUAAAAAGAUAUUUGUACACUUGCCGAAAUUGUUGCUACAGGACCCUUUGUAUUAGCAACUAAUGUACACGACUAUAUCAGCCUAGCUGUCCCUUGCUCCACCGAUGAGUUCGCCCGUGUAUUUGUCAUUUGAACUGCGCCACCAUUUGCCCCGUCAAUUGGUGAACUACUUGCGUCUGUAGUAAUUUUAUUUGGGGUUCUUGUGCCUCUCCUAGCCUUUUCAGCCCAGUUGACAAGGCCUUCGGUCACAUUGUCAUCAAAUAUAGUCUUCUUGAAAGAAUUCCCCAUCUAUACCAAUGAUGAGACAAAAUUAGAAUAAAAUGAUAGAUAAGAAUAUUUGUUUGAUCAUGACAAUAAAGCCAUUAAAAUUGUAUCAAUUUGUGAAAACAAGCUUUGUAUUCAUCAAGAAUGGAUACUCAUAGGUAUAGUUCAAGUUGAAAAUCAUUAUAUCACAACAAAACUACAAUUUUAUCCACUUUAUUAAUUGAACUCACAUGGGAGACAACGGCGUAUAGUGGUAGGGUGCUGUAACCACAAAGAACUUGGCAGAUUACACUGAAAGAAGUAAAAUGUAAUGAGUAUGUUUUUAAGAUGUCUCAAUAAGUUGUUGAUGCCAUUGUGAUUUCUGUUGUACCUUAUGACAACUCGAGUAAUAACAUAUGCUGGUUUCCCCAUGAUGCAUGAUUUAAAACCAUAUGUUACCUGCAACAUUGAUAAAUGCAAGGGUUAGUCCUACUUGUAUUCAUUAGAUUCCUAUUUGAAACUAUCAAAUCCAUAACUUAUAUUCUAUGUAAUUUCACGAUUCUUAUCGUACUCUCCAAUACUUCAUGUUAAAUUAGGUUGUGGGUACAACAAGCUUACUUAUUGUUCUUACCAAGAGCCAGAAGAAAAAUGCAAUUUCAAAUGCAUUUUGAAAUAGGACGAUGUGGAUCAACAGAAGGACUAAUUUAGGCCGAUGGAACCAAAAGAAGUUAUCUGAAGGAGAAACUACUAAAUCCCCUCGAAUAGCCGUAUCCUUCUGGGCAACCUCAUAAGCCAAUUCCGUUAUUAUGUGCUCCAUCUUACUUCCUACCACAAGUAACAUCUGCCAAACACAAAUACAAUAAGUUGAUGUCACGAGUCUGCCCUUUUUUGGAUCAUGCUUAGUUUGAAAGAUCAUUGUAGAAGUCAUAUGAAGGCAUAUAAUUAGUAUUUAGUCCUUAAAACAUGCAUACAUGUAGUAGAAAUUUCUUUUAUGUGUUUUUGUAUAGAUAGUAACUCAUGUUUACUUACAAUGAAUGGAACCAAGGUAAUCCAAAUGUAGACAUACCACCCUACAAUAACGGUACGACAAGAGUCGGGUUACUUUUCACAUAAAAAAUUGUCUAGUGAGGGUUAGUCAAAAUAAAAUAAGUAAAUAAAUAAAUAUAUUUUUGUGACAAUUUAACAAAAGAAGAGUUAUACAAGUGGAUCAAAACUUGUGACCUCUAGUGAUACAUACCUUCAACAUUCAAUAGUAGGAAUAUCAUCAGCAUGGCCCAAAGGUACCAACUACAUAAGCAUAACAUGGACAUCAAUUUGCUAUUUUCUCUAUAGGUAAUUGAUCUAUACAUAGCAUAUGCUUUAGAAAAAAAUUGGGUAAUGCAUUUUGUAAUAGUAGCAUUGAGCACUUACCUAAUACCAACAACUUUCUUAAAAUCAACCUCCAAAGCUCUGAUCAUGUAACUAUAAAAGUUGAAUUUUGGUGUCCCCUUACAAUGUUUCUGUGAAAAGGAAUGAAGCAUGUAUAUAUAUAAGUUUCCUCCACUAAUAGUGUAUACCCGAAAACAUACACGUGACUUCUAUAUAUCGAUUAAAAUGUAGGUUGAUUACCAUGAUGAAACCAAGUCUCAUUGUUGUGUAGUCCUCCUCAGUGACGGAUCCAUAAAAUUGUUUGAAGAAGGAACGCUAAAAAGACGAUGACUUAUCUUAUAGCCCAAUUGCAAAAUAGAGAAAUAAGGCAAUAUAUAUGUUUUGAUCCUUAUAAAAACACAAGAAAAAGAAAGUAUACCAUCCAACCAAAUAUCCUCGACCGCUUUCUAUGACCUUUAAAGUGGUCUUGAAUAAAUUUGAAUUCUCGAAUGUGCUUGAUCAUUUGAGGGGCUGCAAGUUAGGACCCAACAUUAGUAAACAAAAAAUGUAACACAACUUCAUACAACUGAAGAAAACUUGUGAACUCAUCAUUAGCCAAACAAGGAAAGGAAACUAUUUGCAUCAUAUAUACAUACCACCGUCAUCACUUUCUUGUAUCUUGGUCUCCCAAUGUCGCCAAUUUCUCGUCUGCACAACAAUUAACAUAGUAGUUAGAAAAGCUAUGGUAGACGAAUUACUCGUUACUAACAAAAAUAUAGUCAGAGUUUUAGUUAGUACCUGUGCAAUUCCUAGAAGUACUGUAAUAGCACUGAGAAGGAAAUGGGUGACCGCCAACACGAAGAUAAAUAUGUGUAGUUGAUGAAUAGCUUCAGAUGAAAGUAAUGGAACUUUGUCCUGCAUGCCAAAUGGCGUCAAAUGAAUCAUUGGAUAAGAACAAGGUGGAACGGGUCAAAGACGAAAAACAAUAGAUCGACGAAGACAGAAGAAAAAGGAAAAGUAGAGUAUCACAAAUAAAAUCGAGAACCGACAAAAUGGUUGUGUGCAUCAUCUGCAGAGGUCAAGCCGUCAAGGGUAAUCCUCCUUUUCAAGAAAAAUAUCACAAAACAAAAUCAAGCACUUCUGAUGCCUUGAGCUGUACCUUCUUGAGGCAGUAUUCGUCGUCGGAGGAGGCUCCUCCAGCCAGGAGGCGCCUCCCCCCACCCAACACGCCGGUGAACACAGCGCCACCGAGGUGGUCCGUCUCGUGCAGCGGCGGCUUGCAGGGCUGCAGGUGGAGCAUGGUGCUCGGGCUGACGCACAGCUUCCCAAUGGGCCCCUGGAAGACGGUGAGCAGCAGCGAGAUGAACCCCAGCAGCAUCAGCUCCUCCUUCACCUUGAGCAGGGCCUCGUACAUCGGCUUCUUGCGACUCCUUAUCAGCCUCUGCAUGCAAACGUGCGUGCCCAAACGUUCAGCUGAUGGCCGAUUGCUUCGACAGAUACGGCAGGCAGCUUCGUGGUCUCUCAUGGUGGAUGUACGCACAUACCUUGCCUAGGCGGUGGAGCAAGCGCUCGAAGAGCAGGGAGAUGAUGAUCAUGACGGAGCAGACCAACGCCACGAUCCAUGUCGGCGUGAACUCGAGCGGCUUGGCCUUCCCUUCACCGCCGGCCAUGGCGCCCCAAACGUACUCGUCAAGAACCAAGCCCACGCCGACGCCCCUUGUCGUAAGAAUGAAGUGGCAAGCAAGACUAUUCUUGAUACAUUUAUAUAGCUACAAGAGACGAAACUACUCAGUUACAUGGUCAUCAGUUAUCACGCAUGACAAUAUUGACUUGGCACGAUCAGAACCCUGAAUUAUAUUCCAAGCUACAUGUACACACAGGAAAACAAGAAACAACGCGUUACCUUCCUAAAUACUACUAGUAUUCAUUCUCGAAAAAUACUACCACUAGUAUUCCGCUAGCAUAUGUCCCAUGUGACCAUUUUUUUUCUUUUUUGUGCUGCAGUCUACGGUCCACCGCACUACUUUUUUUUUGCGAUGACCACCACACUACUAUUAACCAACGGGAACUGGAAACUGGAAUAAUAGUCUGUUUUGGGGUGUUUCGUAUGAUGUCCCCAACUGCCUGAACGAAAUUUGUACUUUGAUUAGAUCUGGUCGUUGUUUGGUAAAUUUGUUGUCAAAAUUCCCUUGAUGCAAUGUGGCUUUUGGUAACUUUCAUGUAAUGCCGCUCACAACGGCGAUGAUCCACUUUUCUUUCAAAUUUGUAGUUGCCGCUAACAGUGACAAGGCCAUGGAUCUGAAAUAUUCGAAUUUGUAGUCAUUGCUCCGUUUUUUCUUUCAAAACACAAUGGUUAAAAAGAAUUCUAGACCUAGCUGGCCCAGGUGGUACCGGUCAAAAGCACAUCUAUUAUUUUAGCCUAAUCUGUAAGUAGAGAAACCACUGAUAUGUAUAUUUUUUAUUUUCUGAGAAAACACUAUUGCAAUAUCAUUCUUGGUUAAAAUAUACUAGUAUAUUUGCAUUCCCGGACAAAGCAGAAAACCGUGGUUUCAGAUUGGAUCUGCGACGCGGCGUCAGCGAAAUCAAAGUCGCGGCCGUCAACGUCGGAUGGUGGAAGUCCAAAGCGUUUGGUUUGCGUCCAGUUCAACAGUCCAGGUGCAGGUCCUGGCCUAGUGCGGUGACCCAGCUCCACCAAGUGGGCUUCCUGACAGCAGCAUGCAUUUCGAAAUACACUAGGGCGUGUUUGGUAGCUUUCCCGAGCGGCUUAGCUCAGCCUGUCUUAACGGAGGCUGGUUGAGAAAAAACGAGAAAACAUUAACACAUGCACUUCAUUUGGUUGCCUACAAUGAGGCUGCUUGCAUUAGAGGAUUGCUUUAGGCAUAUUAUUUGGUUGUCUGCAUUGGCUCGGCGAAUGCAACUACAUCAUGUUUGGUUGCCUGCACCGGAGAUGAAUAAGAUUAAUAGCUACCCAUAACACACUGCAGAGGCCGGGGGUGAUUCCUCCUUUUCUAAAAAAAAAACCAUAACACACACAGGGCCAUGGCGACUGGCGAACGAUGGCAAGGACGCAAUGCUGUCCAAGUCAGUUUUCUGUUUGUUUGUUUCUAGUCUAGUACUCCAUUCGUUCCUAAAUAUAAGCCUUUUUAGAGAUUUUAAUGCAGACUACAUGCAUACAAAACAAAAUGAGUGAAUCUACAUUUUAAACUAGGGUUAUAUACAUCCAUAUAUUGUCGGUAUUGAAAUCUUUAAAAGAUCUUAUAUUUAGGAACAGAGGGAGUAGCUUAAUAGCCUCGGCCACGGUUGUUGAUGGUAUGCUGCUAAUGUGUGAACAAAGACCAGAAGAUACGUCCUGGUUUCACACGGUGAAUCAAGUAGCAACUCAUUCUUCGCCCUAGAAGGAAAUAAGAUUUAUCGUUGGCGCGUCAAGCUAACCUCUACAGGCGAGGCAAUAAGGUUUUUUGGAAGCGCAAUUUUAUGACUGCUUGCUGUACAUCCAAUAUUCUUCACUGCGAUAAGCAUGGGUGGAGCUUCACCAAACCGGCACUGUGACUUUUCGAUGACACCAAUAAACCCUUGGCGAGUUCUAGGAGAGAACACAUAGCAUGAUCCGCCUGCUCUUAGAGCUAAAUAAUUUGCUACGAUGAUACUCCCUAAUCAGAUAAUCUUGGAUGAGUUAACUAUCGCCUUCAUUUUCAGACGCAAAAUACCAAUACUGGCUAGACUAACUUGGUCUUGAAUUUUCGUGUAGCCAAGGCCCGUCUUUACCUACAAAGCGUGUGCUUUGAAAAUUGAGAUGGACUGGUCGAUCACCAUCAACUACCAUGCAUGCACCUAGCUGGAUUUGGAUAUAUAUGGGUGAGGGUGCCUGGUGCGGGUUCGCCUGUAAUAGAGAGCUGGUGAGGGUGGAUCUAGUGCGGUAGGUAGAAUUGCAACUAGGGCAUGCAGCCACAAAUGGUUGUUAAUUGCCCAUUUGCAUGCCCUAGUUGCACACGACGACGACGUCCAUGGUUGUUGACUGAUAGCUAGCUACAUAUAAGACCAUUUCGAGAAGCAGCUACACAAAUGAUUGUAAGUGCCUUGAGUGCACAUUUCGUGGAUGGCUAACUGACGACCAUAUUAAUGUGAGCGUGCAUAUAUAUAGUAGCCGUCGAAACACGACUGGAAGGCGGCCAGUCUAGUCAACCGAGCUCUCUACCCGCUUCUUUGGACACGAGGACAUGGCUUUGGAAGAUGCAUGCAUGCCAAUCAGACAACCAACCGAAGGCACACGGCAAAUUGGUCCCUCUGCUUCGUCAGUUAUGACGUGAUGAUCGUAGUUCAAAUCUUAGGCAGGAUGGUUCCCGUGCAUCAUUCGAUUGGACAUGCAUAUAGAUCACGCACUCACCAUAUCACACAUGCCUGUCCCAUGAACGUGACGCUUGGGGCAUGUACAGUAACUGAUAAAGCAUGUUAGCAAAAUCACAUAAGCAACAAGAUCGAUUAGCACAAAAAAAAACAAGAUCGAUUAGCACAAAAUUGCACAUAUAUCCGUACCUUUAGCCAUGUUGACACCGGCCAUAGCCAGUUUUUCUAACCUGUCUUCCUUCUUUACCUUUAGCGCUCGCUUGAUGAUUAGAGAACAAGGGAGACUCGGCAUUUCUGUCAAUUUUCCAUACCCUUAGAUGUAGUAUGCUUUGUCUAUUUACUAUUUAUACAUGCAUAAGCACUAAGCAUUGUUCCAACAUACUUUGCCUAGUUCCAACGGAAAAUGACUCGGCGAAGAUAACUAGAUGUAACAUGUUUUUCUGUUUAUACUUUGCCUAGUUCCAACGGAAAACGACUCAGCGAAGAAAUAAACCCGACAUAAUCUCAAGUUCGUCAAGUUGCAGACCGAAAAAGCUCGGUAAAGUCUGAGAGGUGGGCCCGGCUAUAGAGCAAGCGACGUAACCGUGACAACGGUCUUUCUUUGCCGAGUUUCGGCUCACGAGACUCGCUAAACAUUUGCUCUUUAUAUUUUUUGCUUAUACGUAGGGAAGAUUCAUAGUCACACUCCGUAUCCCGUUGAUGGCUACUUGGCUCUUUUUUUAAUUAUUUCAUCAAGUUCCGUCAGUCCAUAUCCCCUCGGGGUCGCUUUUUUUUAUCGGUCACAGACCGGGCCGCUUAAUCGUUUGAGGCGCCUAGCUGUAGAUGCUCUAAGAGGAUGUGUGAAAACAAAUGAUAAUUGUGAGUGUGAGAGAAGAAAGAGAAGGAAGGAUGAGACAAUCUAGAAGAUAUCAUUCUAAUUUUGUAUAGAUAUAGUAUGUGCGUGUAAAGUUUAUAUAAAAAAGAUAAAGAUAAAGAAAAUGAAAGAAAUUUAAAAAUAAAAACAAAUUAUUAGUUGAAAAUUACACCUUGAAAUCUAAACAUAUGAUGGGGAGCAUUAAAAAUGAGACUCAUAAAACAGAAAAACAAAUUGAUAGCUUUAUUAGUGUAAAAAAACUUAGACUUCAUAAACUUUGUCUUGGGCAAACACACAUGCAUAUGCUUCUAAUUAUUAUAACCUAACUAAUUAAGAUAUAGUUCCAUGCAUAAGCAGCCAUGACGGACAUGAUGUGGCGUGUCAAAAACACGAAGAUUCAAUGGGGUGACCGGCUUGGAGGAUGAAGCUAAUUAAGAGGUAGGGUGUAGAGUUCGAGCAACUGAGAAUGGGGAGGACCAAUUGGAUGAUGCGAAUGACAAAAGCUGAAGAAACAGAGCUGGCGGAGGACGCAGGUGGCAAAUGGCGGCGGCUGGCGGAAACCUAGAGAUGUCGGUGUCUGCCAGGAUUGGAGGUGGUGAUGGGCGACCAUAAGGGAGCAACGGCCGCAGAGCAGCUGCAGGCGAACAGGAACAACGAGCCGGUCGUUUCAGCAGGAAAAAAAGGGCGGCAGCGGGAUUUGGCGAUCUGGACAACAAAACCAAUUUGGUACUCGAUCGGACUUGGAGAAAUAAGAUGAAUACAAUAGGAGAAAGAGGAGAAUCAGACCCAAAAAAAUCGAUCAUAAGACGAUUUGUGUCGUCCGGAGGAAGAUCUAAACCAUAGCACUGAUACCAUGUUAUGAAUAUGCGACUUAGUAUUAUCAGGAGGCUAAACCCAUCAUAUAUACAAGUACAAGUGGGAGAGCAAAGGUCAAAAUACAGAAAGCCAAAAGCCAUCAUAAAUAUAACUCUAACAUUUAUGAUUUUGUGCUUGGCAAAACUUCUAUAAGUUAUUUCUACUACUUCGCCGUAAUUGAAUCAUUUAUGUAACACCUAUUGUUUGUUCAAGUGCAUCAUUUGUCAUUCAUUCAAUGAGCUGGAAAAACCGUGCCAUUUUACUAUGCAACAUUAGUUAAUAGGGCAUGUAUUUGAAAUUUUGGACAAGUCACGUAGAGAAGGUUUGCUGAGGGAGGGGUAGAGAAGGUGAGCAGUUUGUUAGGAAGAAUUAAUAAUGUCUUGAACACAUAAAUAACUAGCAUUAUCAAAAGAUAUUUUUGGCCUCUAAAACAUAUAUAUUUACAAUUGUCGAAAUUGUUACUAUAUGACCCUUUGUAAAGCAAUCAAUGUACACAAUUAUAAUAGCCUAGCGGUCCCUUGCUCCACUGAUGAGUUGGCAUGUGUAUUUGUCAUUUGAACUGCGCCACCAUUUGCCUCGUCAAUUGGCUCUGUAGUAAUUUUAUUUGGGUUUCUUGUGCGCCUCCGAGCCUUUUCAGCCCAGUUGACAAGGCCUUCAGUCACAUUGUCAUCAAAUAUAGUCUUCUUGAAAGAAGUACCCAUCUACACAAAACGAUGAGACAAAAUCAGAAUAAAACGAUCGAUAAGAAAUAUUUUUCUUACCAUGUCAAUAAAGACCUUUACAAUGGUAUCUAUUUGUGAAAGCAAGCUUUGUGUUGCUCAAGAAUGGCUACUUAUAGGUAAAUUUCAAGACAAAAGAAGCAUUAAAUCCCAACAAAACUACAAUUUUAUCAAGUUUAUGAAUUGAACUCACAUGAGAGACGAUAGCAUAUAGUGGUAGGGUGCUGUAACCACAAAGGAGUUGGCAGAUUACGCUGAAAGAAGGAAAAAUGAUGAGUAUGUUCUCAAGAUUUCUCAACAUAGUAUUGCUAUUAUUGUGAUUUCUAUGUACCUUAUGACAAUUCGAGUAAUAACAUAUGCUGGUUUCCCCAUGAUGCAUGAUUUAAAACCGUAUGUCACCUGCAAGGUUGAUAAAUGCCAGAGUUAGUUCUACUUUCGUUCAUUAGAUUCCAAUUUGGAACUAGCAAAUCCUAAACUUAUAAUAUGUUUGAAGGUUAUGACACUCUCUAAUACUUCAAGUAAAUUUGGUCGAGUACAACUAGAUUAUUUAUUGUUCUUACCAAGAGCCAGAAGAAAAAUGCAAUUUCAAAUGCAUUCUGAAACAGGACGACGUGGAUCAACAGAAGGACUAAUUUAGGCCGGUGGAACCAGAAGAAGUCAUCUGAAGGGGCAACUACUAAAUCUCCUCGAAUAGCUGUAUGCUUCUGGGCAACCUCAUAAGCCAAUUCCGUAAUGAUGUGCUCCAUCUUACUUCCUACCACAAGUAGCAUCUGCCAAAAACAAAUACAUAAGUUGAUGUCAUGACCCUGCCCCUUUAUUGGAUCAUCCGUAGUUUGAAAGGUCGUUGUGGAAGUUAUAUGAAGGCAUAUAAUUAUUAUUUAGUCCUUAAAACAAGCAUACAUGCAGCGGAAGUUCCUUUUAUGUAUUUUUCUAUAGAUAGUAAAUCAUGUUUACUUACAAUGAAUGGAACCAAGGUUAUCCAAAUGUAGACAUACCACCCUGCAAUGUCGAUAAACAAGAGUGGAGUUAUUUUUCACAUAAAAAUAUUGUCUAGUGAAUGUAACCAAAUAAAAUUUUAUAAAAAGAUUUUGCGAGAGUUUAACUCAAUAAGAGUUAUGUAAGUACUUAUGGCCUUUAGUGAUACAUACCUUGAACAUUCAAUAGUAGGAAUAUCAUCAGCAUGGCCCAAAGGUACCAACUACAUAAGCAUAACAUGGAGAUCAAUUCGAUAUUUUUCUCUAUUGGUAAUUGAUAUAGACAUUGCAAAUGAUUUAGAAAAAAAGUAGGUCACAUAUUUUGUAACAAUGGCAUUGAACAUUUACCUGAUACCGACAACCUUCUUAAAAUCAAACUCCAAAGCUCUAAUCAUGUAACUAUAAAAGUUGAAUUUUGGUGUCCCCUUACAGUGUUUCUGUGAAAAAGGAAUGUAGCUUAUAUAUAAAUUUCUUCGAUUCCACUAGCAGUAUUUACUAGAAAAUGUAGGUUGGUUACCAUGAUGAAACCAAGUCUCAUUGUUGUGUAGUCCUCAUCAGUGACUGAUCCAUAGAAUUGUUUGAAGAAGGAGCGCUAAAAAGAUGAUGAGUUGUCUUAUACCCCAAUUCCAAAGUAAAUAACAAAUGCAUUUUGUUUCGAUACUUAAGACAUAAGAAAAAAACAUACCAUCCAACCAAAUAUCUUCGAUCGUUUUCUAUGACCUUUAAAGUGGUCUUGAAUAAAUUUGAAUUCUUGAACAUGCUUGAUCAUUUGAGGUGCUGCAAGUUAGGACCCAACAUUCAUAAGCAGAAUAUAACACAACUUUAUAUUGAACAAAACUUGUGAAGUCAUCGUUAGCUAAACUAGGGAAGUGUUUGCAACAUACCACCACCAUCAUUUUCUUGGAUCUUGGCCUCCCAAUGUCGCCAAUUUCUUGUCUGAACAACAAUUAACAUGGUAAUUAGGACAAUCAUGAUACACUAAUUACGCGUUACUAACAAACCUCUAGUUGGACUUUUAGUUAGUACUAUGUACCUGUGCAAUUCCUAGAAGGACUGUAAUAGCACUGAGAACGAAAUGAGUGACUGCCAACACGAAGAUAAAUAUGUGUAACUGAUGAAUAGCUUCAGAUGAAAGUAGUGGAACUUUGCCCUGCAUAUGUCAAAUGGCGUCAAAUGAAUCACUGGAUAAGAAUAUCGUGGAACGGGUCAAAUAGUUAAAGUAGUAACAAUAUACCAGAGUUUUCGAUCGACAAAGACGAGAGAAAAAAAAAAGGAAAAGCAUAGUAUCAUAGACAAAAUCAAGCACCAAUUCAGUUGUACCUUCUUGAGGCAGUAUUCGUCGGAGGAGGCUCCUCCAGCCAGGAGGCGCCUCGCCCCACCCAUCACGCCGGUGAACACGGCGCCGCCGAGGUGGUCCGUCUUGUGCGGCGGCGGCUUGCAGGGCAGCAGGUGGUGCAUGGUGCCCGGGCUGACGCAGAGCUUCCCCAUGGGGCCCUGGAACACGGUGAGCAGCAGCGAGAUGAACCCCAGCAGCAUCAGCUCCUCCUUCACCUUGAGCAGGGCCUCGUACAGCGGCUUCUUGCGGCUCCUCAUCAGCCUCUGCAUGGAAACGCGCGUGCCCAGAAGCUGUUCAGCUGAUGGUCGCUUGGACUCGAUGCAGUGUGUCUCUCUCUCAUGGUGGGGGCACGCAAGCACGUACCUUGCCUAGGCGGUGGAGCAAGCGCUCGAAGAGCAAGGAGAUGAUGACUAUGACGGAGCAGACCGACGCCACGAUCCAUGUCGGCGUGAACUCGAGCGGCUUGGCUUUCCCUCCUCCGCCAGCCAUGGCGUCCCAAACUGGUCAAGAACACCUUGUCGUAAGAAUGGAGUGACAGGCAAGACCUGUUCUUGAUCAAUUUAUAGAUAGAGACUGAUUUACUUACAUGGUCAUAUUUGACUUGGCACGAUCAGAGCAAUCAUAUUCCAAGCUGCACACCAGAAAACAAGAAACAACCUGUUACCUUCCUGAAUACUAGUGCUAUUAUUCCACUGACAUGUCCCAUGUGAUCAAUUACAAUUAUAUUUAUAGAGUGCUCUUCUAUUUCGUUUCUUCAUCACAUUACAAUUUUCGGUCUACCACACUACUAUUAACGAACUGGAAACUCAUUAAAAACUAGUUAGUCUGGGUUGUUUUGUAUGAUGUUUUUUUAGAAAGGAGGCACAAAACGGAAAAAGGGGAUACAUGCCAACAGGCCGGUUUCGUAUGAUGUUCCCAACUGUCUAAUCGGAUUUGAUAAUUUUGAUUGAAUUUAGUCUUUGUUGUUGGUUAAUUUGUUGCCGAAAUUCAGUUUUUGUAGUGUGGCUUUUGGUAACUUUGCUGUCUACAAUGAGUCACUUUCCGUUGCCGCUAAACAAGGAAGAGGUCAUAUAUCCAAAAUUUUCAAAUUUAUAGUCGUAACUCUAGUUUUUCUUUCUUAAAAAUAGUUUUAAAGGAACUCAAGACCUAGCCCAGGUGCUCCCUCUCACUUUCGUCACACAAGCAGGUCGGAGGUCUUGGAAGUUUCAGCACAAAAAAAAUGGUGUGUGUGUGUGUUUUGCGAGGAACACAAAAAAAUGGUGUUGAUUAGCUUCUUCUUUUGUUGACCGGGUAGGGUAGUGGUAUUAUUUUAGCUUCUCCGAAAGUAAAGGCACCAUUGGAGUAUCUAGCUUUUCACAAAAGAAGAAACAUUUCAAUCUGCGACGCGGCGUCUACGAAAUCAAAGUCGCCGCAGGACGCGGCGGUCAAUCGUUGGGGGUGGAAGUCUGAAGCCUUUGGUUUUCAAAUGCACAUGCGUCCAGUCCUGUCCUGUGGGCAAGGUGCAGGUCCUGACCUAGCUAGUGCAGUCUAUUGACUCGGCUGUGAUUUAGACAACAAAGCCCCACGAAGAUAUAUUUUAGAUGUAUGAAGUAUGAACACAUAUGUAAGCGUAUAACAUUGUGGUCAUUAUGUGCACGAAUAUGCUACUAAUUUGUUCAAGAUUACACAAAGUGCAAAAUAAUUUGCAUUAAAUAUCUAUAUUUGCUUCAGGGGAAGUGUUUAAUUUAUUAGGCAGUUUGCUGAGGGAUGGGCCUGAGCGCAAACCACCUGAUCCGAGAAAAACGAAUUGGCCCCGUGGCAUGGUGGUGNNNNNNNNNNNNNNNNNNNNNNNNNNNNNNNNNNNNNNNNNNNNNNNNNNNNNNNNNNNNNNNNNNNNNNNNNNNNNNNNNNNNNNNNNNNNNNNNNNNNNNNNNNNNNNNNNNNNNNNNNNNNNNNNNNNNNNNNNNNNNNNNNNNNNNNNNNNNNNNNNNNNNNNNNNNNNNNNNNNNNNNNNNNNNNNNNNNNNNNNNNNNNNNNNNNNNNNNNNNNNNNNCCCUGCCAACACAAUCGACGAGAUAGAGGUGUGACAUGGGUGCAUCAAUCCAUGCAGUGGACAGGGGUUUAUCCUCGUUUCAAUAAAUAAGUAAAAUACCUAAUUCUUAUAUACCAAAUGGUCUAUUUAUUCAUUGAUGGUUGUCAGCGUUAAUUUAGAUGUGUGCAUUCUUUUGUUUCUGCAGGGGGGCAUUCUACGAUCGUCGGCAAUUAUAGAACGGAUGUAUAAUUAAUUACCAACAAAAUGUGUUAUGACGUGUGGAUGUGGCCUAUGAAAAAAACUCCAAAAAUUCUGAAGCAAGAUUUAGUUCCAUGUUGCUAAGGGAAGAAGGUGGACAUCAAUAUACAAAGUGAACCUCCAGCCAUGCAAUAUAGGAGUAUUUCUGUAGGCACAUGACGUGAUAGAGACUUUGCCUAAGUAGCUGCAAAAACUUGUAAUCUCUUGAUGAGAGCAAUUAAUGUUGUCCAAGUCAGCUUUUGUUUUCUAUCAGCUUAACAGACUUAACCAAUAGUAGGCUGCUAAUGUGUGAACACAAAGACCGGUAAGCAUCCUGGUUCCACACACUGACACACCGAAUCAAGUAGCUACUCCUUCUACACCCUUGGAGGGAAUAAGAUUCAUGGGUAGCGCGUCUAGCUAACCUCUACACGGCAGGCAAUAAAGUCUCUUCACCGUGAUGAACAUGGGUGCAACUAGCACCAAACCGGCAAUGUGACUGUUCCAUGACACCAGUAAACCCUUGGUGAGUUAUAAGAGAGAAGUACUAGUGCAAUGUCCAUAAUGUUUCAUAACAUGAUUCGCCUGCUCUUAGAACUAAUAUUUUUCAUCAUUAGUGUACUAUGGAUGAUACUCCCUAAUCGAUAAAUAUUGCCUCUAUUUUCAACCAUAAAAUAACUAGACUGGCCGGACUAACUUGGUCGUGUAGCUUCAACUAAGGAAGUGGUUUAUCUACCAAACCGUGUGCUUUGAAAAUUUGAGAUGAAUUGGUCAUACCAUGCAUGCACCUAGCUAGAUUUCUAUAUGGGUGAGGGUGUCCUAGAACUAAUUAUAAGGAAGAAGAGUAGUUGGUCGUCGAAUGCAAUGAGAUACCUGGUGAGGGUGCAUCUGGUGCAUGCAGCUACAUAUGAUCAUUAAUCGCCCGUUUGUCCUAGUUGCACAUGAGGUAUAUGAUUGGCUGACAGCAACAAUAAGACCAUUUCGAAAGGCAGCUACACAAAUGAUUGUAAGUGCCUUGAGUGCACAUUUCGCGGAUGGUUAGCUGACGACUAUAUGUUGUGCGUGUGCAUAUUAGCCAUCAAAAGACGACUAGAGGACAGCGAGUCUAAUCAAGUCAACCGAACUCUGUACCCGCUUCUCUGGACAUGAGGAUAUGGCUUCGAGGAAGAUGCCAACCAGCCAGCCGACCGAACGGACAUGAGGACAUGGCAAAUCCAUCCCUCCGCUGGGUCAGUCAUGACGUGAUGAUCAUAGUGCAAAUCUGAGGCAGGAUGGUGAUUAAUUGCGACACUGAGUCACGUACUGAUAUGCCAACUUACGUGUGCAUCCUUCGAGCAGAGGUGCAUAUAGAUCACACUCACACAUCUCACAUGUUUGUCCCAUAAUCAAAACAUGUUUACGGAAAUGUACAGUGAUUGACAAGGCAUGUUAACAAAAUCACGGAAGCAACAAGAUCGAUUAGCACAAAACUGAUUCAACCCAGAGAAAACCCUUUUUUUUGCGAGGGCAGAGAAAACCCUUUACAUGUGCAACAUUACGCAUCCGUACCUUGGGCCAUGUUGACACCCGCCAUAGCGAGUUUUCUCGCCUCUCUUCCUCCUUUACCUUUAGCGAUCUCUUGAUGGCUAGAGAACUCUUCCUUCUUUACCUUUAGCGGUCGUUUGAUGACUUGAGAACACGGGAAACUCUCAUGUGUGUUCUUAUUCCCGUCACUUUUCCAUACCAUAAGGUGUAGCAUGCUUUAUCUAUUUAUAUACACGCAUAAGCAUGCACUAAGCAUUGUCGAAUGAAACUUCAAAGUCUUAAACGGCAGCGCUUACUCAAGGUAAUUAAGCUGCACUAAGUGGGUGCCAUUUAUGCAUGAAACGUACAAUGUGCUUCAUGCCAAUUAAGAUCCAUUCACUAGGACAUGGAUGGUAACUCUUAUUUUUCAUGCGUUGCUCAUGUGGUAACUCCACACAUACAUCUAAUAAAUGCAUUACUUUAAUUAUAACACACAAAUGUCUAUACAAGGGAGAGGAGAGGGAAUUCAAACCCACUAAUUCUUAAUCCAUUAGUAAAGCAACCAUCACACUAAGACCCUUAAUACUCCAUUAGUCUAACCCAUUCUCUCGACGUGGCCGGCCACAAAAUGUAUUGGGUGGUAGUCCUUUAGUUAGCACAUCCGCUAUGUUCAAAUCUAUAUGUUUUGCUCCUUUCGAGUACUUAUCAUUCUUUGAGAAGAAGACUGCAGCGGAAAUAUCACAAUAAAUCCUAAAUGGCCUUUCAAUAUUAUCAAUAAUUUGAAGGCAUGACAUAAAAUUCCACAGCCACAGUGAUUCAAUAGUGGCCUCAAAUGAUGCCAAUCUGUGUAACCAAUCACCUCAAGAUGGCCUGAUCACUUUUAUGUGAGCAUGUGAUCCUUGAUCCAUUGCAAAUACCUGAGAAACUUUUUCGGAGCCUUCCAAUGAUCUAUUCAAGUAUUACUUUGAUACCGACCAAGCAUUCCAAUAGCAAAGCUGAUAGCUGAUAUUAUUCAUGCGGUCUAUGGCUCCCAUCAUACAUGAAACUAUAUAUAGAAAGAGUACUUUUGUUACCUUUAAUAUUAUUCAUGAACUUAGGAGCUCGAAUGUCGAGGCUCACAAGCUUGCGAAGCAUCUUAUCCCUGGGGGUUGGCCGCCAUGUUUGGUUAGGUCGGGUCAGCCCAAUGGACUUGAUUUCAUCCCUCUAAACCUUGUGACGUUUGAAUAAAAAGCUUCUGAGUUUGUCUAAAACAAAAAACAAAAAAAAA
This 30366-nucleotide long non-coding RNA is filed under the name Triticum aestivum (bread wheat). RNAcentral describes it as "long non-coding RNA (TAES_LNC020087)". Lineage: Eukaryota; Viridiplantae; Streptophyta; Magnoliopsida; Poales; Poaceae. The record is from RNAcentral.